AAUUUUUAUUUCGUUUCGGUAUGUGUUCCAAGUAGCAUUUUAGAAAAGCAUCAACGUAAAUGUUGGUGUUUGUGUGAUCUGACUUGAGCAGAUGAACAAGUACGUGAAAAUUCGUCAAAUUGGCCAGGGGUCAUUCGGUAAAGUGUUCCUGGUUAGACAUAAACAAUCUUUUGUGAAUUAUGUUAUCAAAGAAAUCGUUAUAUCUGGAAUGUCUACCAGUGAACGUGACGAUGCUAGAAAAGAAGUCGCAAUGCUGGCAACUCUCAAACACAAAAACAUUGUUUCCUAUUUCGAGUCUUUUGAAGAAUCUGGUCGGCUCUAUAUUGUUAUGACAUAUUGUGAAGGAGGUGAUCUCUACUCUAGAAUUAAUGACCAAAAAGGUGUGGAAUUCUGUGAAGAGCAAAUCUUAGAUUGGUUUGUUCAAAUAUGCUUGGCUGUGAAAUAUAUACAUGACAAAAACAUCUUACACAGAGACAUAAAAUCUCAGAAUAUAUUUUUAACGAAAGAUGGAACAGUGAAAAUUGGAGAUUUUGGUAUUUCUAAAGUAUUAAACAGUACCUGUGAUAUGGCAAAAACUUGUAUAGGAACACCUUUCUACCUUUCUCCAGAGAUUUGUGAAAAUCGGCCAUAUAACACUAAAAGUGAUAUCUGGUCCUUAGGUUGUGUUCUCUAUGAGCUUACCAAUUUACGCCACCCGUUUGAAGCCAGGAAUUUGAACAACUUAGUUUUUAAAAUUGUGAGUGGCAGAUAUCCACCAGUCCCUGCAAAGUAUUCAUCCAAUCUCAGGGACUUAAUUUCUGUGAUGCUGAAACGCUCAGCAAUUGAGCGUCCUUCAAUUAACAAUGUAUUGAAAUAUCCUUUUAUUGUAAAGAGACUAGUGAAGUUUACUGUUGGCAUUGAUCUUUCUCAGAAUAAUACACCUCAUGAUGUUCGUUCCUCAGUACAAUCUCGACCCCAGUCAGCAGCAUCACGACCCUCUUCUGCGGCAUCCGGGUGCUCUAAAGCUUCUAAUAAUGGAAAGUAUGACCCAGCACGGAUUUAUGGACGCAAAGCUAGUGAAAGCAGGCCUGGAAGUGGUGCCAAAAAGAAAAAAGUUACUGCAUCAGAGAGAAAGACACCGGAGAGAACAGUUACACCAAGCAAGCAGAGAACACCUGGUAUUUCAGCCAUUCGUGCUGCAGGUGACUACAAGAAGUACUAUGAUGCCUUUGAUAAAAUAGACAAAGCACGAGUAACCAGGUCACCAAAACCCUCUAAUCAAGCAUGGUACAUGAAUCAAGCUCGACAUAAACCAUUAAAUAUCUUAGGAGGGAAAGCAGUUGGUCCUAGGAACAGGUUCAGUCCUACACCUUGCCAAAGUAGAAUUGUCUCUGAUUUUCAUCAGCGUAGAGCUGAUGCUGCUCGUAACAAGUUAAAGGUUCAGGGCCAGAAAUUUGCACUGCCAGACCAAUCACACACACCCUCACCUAGGAAUGCCAUACUUCAUGGUACCAAUGCUCAGAAGAGGCAACAACAGGAGAAGGAAUAUCUUUUACACAUUCAGAAAAUAGCAGAGGAAAAUUUCCAGGAAAGGCAGAAACUAUACCGAGAACAAAAAUCAAAUUUGAAACUAAAAGAGCCUAAACCAUCACCGAAAUCUGUGACACAAGUAUUGAGAGAGAUUGGAGUUGAAGAGAAACCACGUUUGGAGAUCUCAAAGGAGGAUGUUGUCUUAAGAGCUAAUAAAGAUGAGAAAAAGCCUCAAGAUCCAUCCCGAGCUCCUCCUCGUUUACGAUGGAGUCAAAAAGAAACUGUGCACUUAGAAAACCUCCCCCUCGAAGAUCCCCUCGCAGAAUCUGAUGAAGUUGCAGUCUCUCAAGCUCGACAAAAAUGGAAGUAUCGAAAUUCUGUCAUUGAAAUACUGGAGAAUAAAUCUUUAGUUGAUCCAACACUGGUAAUAACUGAAGAAGUUGCUGAGGACCUUCUUUCAAAGAAUCAAGUAUUAAGAAAUCCUGUUCAAGGCUUGACUUCAGGAAAUACACCAGUGACAUCUGGCAUAGUUCCACCAAACAGUUCCAAACCAAAAGCAUUGAAGCAAGAAAGUGUUCCACAACCUGAGUCAUUUUUUGUGCCUUUUGACAAUGGUCCAGGAAAUAACAAUAAAACUGAGACCCCACCCAAAACUCAGAAUACUAAAUCUGUCAGUAAUGCUGCUCCUGUUGAAAAACCAAUCUCAAAUGCAACAUAUCAAAUUCCAAAGCGUGUAGAAGAUAGUACUUUCUCUGGAAACAAUUUACAACCAAUAAAACCAUUAAAAGGUGACGUAAAGCAACAAGAACCAAGUGAGACGGAGCAGACAUUGCCUGUAGAAAAAGAAUCUCAAUCUCUAGUGGAAGAGGUACCUGUGUUACAACAUUCAUUUUCAAGCCCUCAGUUGGAUUCAAUAAAUGAUCUUCCAGAACAAAAAGAGGAGCUAAUGAGGACUCGGUCAGUACCAGAUCUCACUAGUCUGUUCCAAACUGCUGAUAGCAAAAUAAAAGAAACUACUGAAAAUCUAGAUAGCUUAAAAAAGGAAUCACAGAAAACUGAUUUCCUGAAGCGACUUUCUCAAGUUUCUGAUGAUUUUGAACCAAGCCUUGAAGAGACAGACGAGAUUAGUCUGGUACGGCAGUCUAUGCAAGAUGUAUUGACAAAAAGUUUAGAUGAUGAAGAUAGUGAUGGAGAUGAUGGUGUCAGCUUAAUGUCUGACCAAACAGAACCAGAGCUGAAGAAUAUUAAAGAGGAAGAUGAGUGUGAAGAUGAUUAUGAUGAUGUCAGCCUAGGAAAUAGGGAUACUGACAGUAAAUGCAAUUUAUAUCUUUCAGCUUUAAUGGAAGAAAAUGCUGAGGAAGAUGCAGCAAGUACUGAUAUUUUCUCAAAGCUGGAAGAACGAAGGGAGCAACUUGAAAACGAUGUUGGAGGUGCACUUUUGAAAAAGGUUUACUGGAUGAUACAUGACAAACUGCAGGAAGAUGACAUAGAUGAUGAGGAAAUAAUUAGCUUACUGUCUGACAAAGCUGUUUACUACCAGCCAAUUGUCCAGUUAGUCCUUGCUGAUACAGCCUUCACCAAUACAUAGGCUGAACAGAUCUGUUCCAUCAUGGUAUCUCACAACUUGUCAUCUUUGUGAGAUACAGUACUGAGGUGAUUAAAGAAACAUUUGAUAGAAAUCUUUACAUCAAUAAAAUACUGACUUAAAGAAUGGUGUUCAAGUUAUUGGGUCUUCUCUGACAUGUCAUCUCUGGGAUAUUUGGACCAAGUGAAAACUAUUGCUAUUUAUAUUUCAAUUUUACUGUAAACUCAAACAUAUCCCAAUUCUUUGAAGUUGUAUACCUGCAACACAGCUAAUAUACCCCUUUCUUUUUCUUUUAUAAAUAUUUGUAAAUUUAUUUGUGCAGUCAUCCAUUUCUCAUUUUCCUUUUACAUUGUGAUUCAUAUCAAUUCCUGUAAAUAAAAUCAGUAAGGUGUCUAUAUAA
Octopus bimaculoides (California two-spot octopus) is the source of this 3494-nucleotide RNA transcript. RefSeq lists it as uncharacterized. Lineage: Eukaryota; Metazoa; Mollusca; Cephalopoda; Octopoda; Octopodidae. The record is from RefSeq and is a predicted model, not a curated record.